This 253-nucleotide ribosomal RNA is filed under the name uncultured bacterium. Its description in RNAcentral is "partial 16S ribosomal RNA". It matches the Rfam family "Bacterial small subunit ribosomal RNA", at positions 524 to 776 of the family's 1533-position model. The record is from RNAcentral.
UACGUAGGGUGCGAGCGUUGUCCGGAAUUACUGGGCGUAAAGAGCUCGUAGGUGGUUUGUCGCGUUGUUCGUGAAAACUCACAACUCAAUUGUGGGCGUGCGGGCGAUACGGGCAGACUGGAGUACUGCAGGGGAGACUGGAAUUCCUGGUGUAGCGGUGGAAUGCGCAGAUAUCAGGAGGAACACCGGUGGCGAAGGCGGGUCUCUGGGCAGUAACUGACGCUGAGAAGCGAAAGCAUGGGGAGCGAACAGG